This 1328-nucleotide long non-coding RNA is filed under the name Carica papaya (papaya). RNAcentral describes it as "long non-coding RNA (CPAP_LNC002833)". Lineage: Eukaryota; Viridiplantae; Streptophyta; Magnoliopsida; Brassicales; Caricaceae. The record is from RNAcentral.
AAUAAAAAAUUAAAUAAAAACUCAACCCCAUGGUGGAAAAAGUUCCAAUCCUAUUAUACGUAUACCUAUUAUACAGAUACCUCCAACCCUAAGAACCCAAUCAUAUACUAACCCCUACUUCAAUGGUUCUACAUAUCCAUGUCCAUCUACAUAUAUGUAUCUAUGUAUAAUAUAAUAUUGAUGGGAUGUUGUGAAGAAGCCCACAGAAGAAAGGGUUGCAUAUGACAAUUUUUCUCAAAGAACAGUAAAUAAAUAAUUAAAAUGAGGCAUGUAUUAUUUUUUUUUUUUGAAAACAGGAACUGGGGCAUGAAAAAGCUAGAGCCAUGAGUUUGUUGAUAUAUAAUUCUUCCUUACUUAAGAGAGAGAGAGAGAAAGAGAGAGAGAAAGAUAGAGAGAGAAAUUUUGUUGAAAGGAUUUUCAACAAGAACAGCCAACAGCAAUCAUCAUGUCCUCCUCCUCCACCUUCUUCAGCCCUCUGACUCUUCACCAGCUUCAUGAUUACCCCACGACUCAUCUUAAUUCUACUCUUUUCCCUCUCUUUUUUUCACUUCACAUCCCAAUACCUCACCAUCUCAGAAAACAAACCAAACAAGAUCAAGAAGAAGAAGAAGAAGAAGAAGGAGAAGGAGAAGAAGAAGAAGAAGAAGAAGAAGAAGAAGAAGAAGAAGAAGAAGAAGACUUAAGGUAGCUAAUUUAUAAGGAAAAGGGUUAUGUACUGAUGAAAACCCUAGCUACCUUUUACAUGAUAAUUAAUAAUUAUCAAAAACCCUUCUCUUUUUUUCUUUCUUUUGUGAGUGAAAAGGGUUCUUUUUCUUCUAAACAAGGACCCAUCAAUACACUCCUCCUCGGGGAAUCAAGCGUCUCGGUCCGAUCGUCAUCAUCAUCAUCAUCAUCAUCAUCAUCAUCAUCAUCAUCAUCAUCAUCAUCAUCAUCUUUGUCUUCGUCUUCAUCCACACCAACCAAAUCAAUAUAUACACCAAGGUUUUUACUGCAAGGCAAAAGAAAAGUUUCGGCUAAUUUAUUAUAUUAGCAAUAUCUAGGUAGCUACAUUUCUGAUAUCUCAUUUUCAUCAUCUUAAUUAAUAUUAGUUCAAGUGCCUUAUGUUAGAAUGCUUAUUCAUUUAGGUUUCGUUUUGUUUUGUUUUCUUUAAUGGUUGUUUAAACACAGAAAAGCAGAUAUAUAUGUUGAAUGUAUGUGGACUCAUUCAUAUAUAUAUCUAUAUAUUCAUAUGAUAUAUCUGUGUUGUGAGUCAAGUACCAAAACAUUUUCAAACCCAUCUGAUCAUCAUCAUCAUCGAUAUAUCUCUCUUCAUUCAACUUCAACUCAUG